AGAGUUUGAUCCUGGCUCAGGAUUAACGCUAGCGACAGGCUUAACACAUGCAAGUCGAGGGGCAGCACAGGUAGCAAUACCGGGUGGCGACCGGCGCACGGGUGAGUAACGCGUAUGCAACUUGCCUAUCAGAGGGGGAUAACCCGGCGAAAGUCGGACUAAUACCGCAUGAAGCAGGGAUCCCGCAUGGGAAUAUUUGCUAAAGAUUCAUCGCUGAUAGAUAGGCAUGCGUUCCAUUAGGCAGUUGGCGGGGUAACGGCCCACCAAACCGACGAUGGAUAGGGGUUCUGAGAGGAAGGUCCCCCACAUUGGUACUGAGACACGGACCAAACUCCUACGGGAGGCAGCAGUGAGGAAUAUUGGUCAAUGGCCGAGAGGCUGAACCAGCCAAGUCGCGUGAGGGAUGAAGGUUCUAUGGAUCGUAAACCUCUUUUAUAAGGGAAUAAAGUGCGGGACGUGUCCCGUUUUGUAUGUACCUUAUGAAUAAGGAUCGGCUAACUCUGUGCCAGCAGCCGCGGUAAUACGGAGGAUCCGAGCGUUAUCCGGAUUUAUUGGGUUUAAAGGGUGCGUAGGCGGCCUUUUAAGUCAGCGGUGAAAGUCUGUGGCUCAACCAUAGAAUUGCCGUUGAAACUGGGGGGCUUGAGUAUGUUUGAGGCAGGCGGAAUGCGUGGUGUAGCGGUGAAAUGCAUAGAUAUCACGCAGAACCCCGAUUGCGAAGGCAGCCUGCCAAGCCAUUACUGACGCUGAUGCACGAAAGCGUGGGGAUCAAACAGGAUUAGAUACCCUGGUAGUCCACGCAGUAAACGAUGAUCACUAGCUGUUUGCGAUACACUGUAAGUGGCACAGCGAAAGCGUUAAGUGAUCCACCUGGGGAGUACGCCGGCAACGGUGAAACCCAAAGGAAUUGACGGGGGCCCGCACAAGCGGAGGAACAUGUGGUUUAAUUCGACGAUACGCGAGGAACCUUACCCGGGUUUGAACGCAUUCGGACCGAGGUGGAAACACCUUUUCUAGCAAUAGCCGUUUGCGAGGUGCUGCAUGGUUGUCGUCAGCUCGUGCCGUGAGGUGUCGGCUUAAGUGCCAUAACGAGCGCAACCCUUGCCACUAGUUACUAACAGGUAAAGCUGAGGACUCUGGUGGGACUGCCAGCGUAAGCUGCGAGGAAGGCGGGGAUGACGUCAAAUCAGCACGGCCCUUACAUCCGGGGCGACACACGUGUUGCAAUGGCGUGGACAAAGGGAAGCCACCUGGCGACAGGGAGCGAAUCCCCAAACCACGUCUCAGUUCGGAUCGGAGUCUGCAACCCGACUCCGUGAAGCUGGAUUCGCUAGUAAUCGCGCAUCAGCCAUGGCGCGGUGAAUACGUUCCCGGGCCUUGUACACACCGCCCGUCAAGCCAUGGGAGCCGGGGGUACCUGAAGUCCGUAACCGCGAGGAUCGGCCUAGGGUAAAACUGGUGACUGGGGCUAAGUCGUAACAAGGUA
Molecule: ribosomal RNA, 1483 nt
Filed under: metagenome
Description: bacterial SSU rRNA
Rfam family: Bacterial small subunit ribosomal RNA
Source: RNAcentral